RNAcentral lists this small RNA (676 nucleotides) under Pongo abelii (Sumatran orangutan). RNAcentral's name for it is "retained intron". The record is from RNAcentral. Lineage: Eukaryota; Metazoa; Chordata; Mammalia; Primates; Hominidae.
AAGGUUAUCCUGCUAUUCUGGAUCGCCAGGCUCUCCUCUCCAAGCGCUGGGUCCAGGACUCGGUGUCCGAACCCUCCUGCCCCGUCUGAACACCCUAUUUUGCCUCUCUUCACAGUGGUGGCUGCUCGAGCCCCCAGGAAGGUGCUUGGUUCUUCCACCUCUGCCACUAAUUCGACAUCAGUUUCAUCGAGGAAAGCUGAAAAUAAAUAUGCAGGAGGGAAUCCCGUUUGCGUGCGCCCAACUCCCAAGUGGCAAAAAGGAAUUGGAGAAUUCUUUAGGUUGUCCCCUAAAGAUUCUGAAAAAGAGAAUCAGAUUCCUGAAGAGGCAGGAAGCAGUGGCUUAGGAAGAGCAAAGAGAAAAGCAUGUCCUUUGCAACCUGAUCACACAAAUGAUGAAAAAGAAUAGAACUUUCUCAUUCAUCUUUGAAUAACGUCUCCUUGUUUACCCUGGUAUUCUAGAAUGUAAUGUGUUUGUUCCAAUUAGCUUUGUUGAAAAGGCAUUUAAUUAAAAAAUUUAGGUUUAAAUUUAGAUGUUCAAAAGUAGUUGUGAAAUUUGAGAAUUUGUAAGACUAAUUAUGGUAACUUAGCUUAGUAUUCAAUAUAAUGCAUUGUUUGGUUUGUUUUACCAAAUUAAGUGUCUUGUUCUUGCUAAAAUCAAGUCAUUGCAUUGUGUUCUA